This is a ribosomal RNA of 813 nucleotides. It matches the Rfam family "Bacterial large subunit ribosomal RNA", at positions 1582 to 2396 of the family's 2925-position model.
GUCUUCGAGUCGUUGAUUUCACACUGCCGAGAAAAGCCUCUAGAUAGAAAAUAGGUGCCCGUACCGCAAACCGACACAGGUAGUCAAGAUGAGAAUUCUAAGGUGAGCGAGCGAACUCUCGUUAAGGAACUCGGCAAAAUGACCCCGUAACUUCGGGAGAAGGGGUGCUCUUUAGGGUUAACGCCCAGAAGAGCCGCAGUGAAUAGGCCCAAGCGACUGUUUAUCAAAAACACAGGUCUCUGCUAAACCGUAAGGUGAUGUAUAGGGGCUGACGCCUGCCCGGUGCUGGAAGGUUAAGAGGAGUGGUUAGCUUCUGCGAAGCUACGAAUCGAAGCCCCAGUAAACGGCGGCCGUAACUAUAACGGUCCUAAGGUAGCGAAAUUCCUUGUCGGGUAAGUUCCGACCCGCACGAAAGGCGUAACGAUUUGGGCACUGUCUCAACGAGAGACUCGGUGAAAUCAUAGUACCUGUGAAGAUGCAGGUUACCCGCGACAGGACGGAAAGACCCCGUGGAGCUUUACUGUAGCCUGAUAUUGAAAUUCGGCACAGCUUGUACAGGAUAGGUAGGAGCCUUUGAAACGUGAGCGCUAGCUUACGUGGAGGCGCUGGUGGGAUACUACCCUAGCUGUGUUGGCUUUCUAACCCGCACCACUUAUCGUGGUGGGAGACAGUGUCAGGCGGGCAGUUUGACUGGGGCGGUCGCCUCCUAAAAGGUAACGGAGGCGCUCAAAGGUUCCCUCAGAAUGGUUGGAAAUCAUUCAUAGAGUGUAAAGGCAUAAGGGAGCUUGACUGCGAGACCUACAAGUCGAGCAG